This 346-nucleotide unclassified non-coding RNA is filed under the name Fusarium solani. RNAcentral's name for it is "partial contains ITS1 and 5.8S rRNA". The stretch from base 131 to 286 matches the Rfam family "5.8S ribosomal RNA". The record is from RNAcentral. Lineage: Eukaryota; Fungi; Ascomycota; Sordariomycetes; Hypocreales; Nectriaceae.
CUUACCUUACCUAAACGUUGGCUUCGGCGGGAAUAGACGGCCCCGUGAAAACGGUUCCGCCCCCGCCAGAGGACCCUUAACUCUGUUUCUUAUAGUGUAUCUUCUGAGUAAAACAAGCAAAUAAAUUAAAACUUAUCAACAACGGAUCUCUUGGCUCUGGCAUCGAUGAAGAACGCAGCGAAAUGCGAUAAGUAAUGUGAAUUGCAGAAUUCAGUGAAUCAUCGAAUCUUUGAACGCACAUUGCGCCCGCCAGUAUUCUGGCGGGCAUGCCUGUCCUCGAGCGUCAUUACAACCCUCAGGCCCCCGGGCCUGGCGUUGGGGAUCGGACGGACCUCGUGGGCGCCAC